This 3775-nucleotide long non-coding RNA is filed under the name Takifugu rubripes (torafugu). RNAcentral describes it as "lncRNA (ENSTRUG00000027382.1)". The record is from RNAcentral. Lineage: Eukaryota; Metazoa; Chordata; Actinopteri; Tetraodontiformes; Tetraodontidae.
UUGUCACUGACAUGAACAAAAUCUGACGUGUAAGCUCUGGAAUGAAACCAAGUGUCCGAGGCGCGUGUUUGUUUCCUUGUAUUGUGUGUUUAUAUCAUGUGAGGGCGGGGGCACUGAAAUUGUCUAUUCAGUAAUAAUAACGUUAUGUUGUUCAACUGUCUUCUUUACUUUAUCCUAGUUCCCAUAGCUCCUGUUCCCAUGCCUGUCCCUGACCACGACAUGAGCAAGUGGAUCUGCUCACAACAUCAAAAGCUGUGGAUGAGGACGGAGCUUCAACAACUUGGGUUGUGGCCUGGGUCCCGACCAGUGCAUAACCCUGGGAACGCAAUUUCUCUUUGGCGUCUUCCUCCUCAACCGGACCUCGAGUGAUCGUCAGCGUCCGUGUCCAGUAUUUUAUCUUUUCCUCGCGACUCUGCUGCAAGGCCUGUCGCAGGAACUGGUUCGCUGACAACCCUCGAUGGGUGGAGAAGCUGCCCGUGCGCUUUACUAACCUUUUCCCUGCAUUCCUGACUUACAAGAAGGCUGUGUGCAAGUCAGUAAUGGAUGAACUGCGGCGUUCUGGCAAGUCACCGACUGAUAUGGCGAACCAGGUGAAUGAGCUCAUGCACCUCAAGUAUGAACGAGCUCACCUGGCAUAUCUGCACGCUGUACAGAACGUCAGGGAUGCUGAGGCUGGGGCGUACAGACAGAGAACCAUCGGCCAGUACGUGAGGAUGGAAGAUCGGCCACGUGCUUUCGGGUCAUACGGGGACCAAGAAGGUUGGGGUGGGGUGUCUGUGUCCGGAUUCUACCUGACUGACUGCCUGCUGGAUGAGUUCAAGCGUCAACAGCCGUCUCUGACCAAGCUCCUCCAGGGCACGUUCGGGCAGGUUUUCAGGUCGGACCACACGAGGAAGAUGGCAAGGAAGGUGACACUGGCAUCUGGAGCCAUGUCCAGUUUCGCAGUGUUGAAUGAGAACUGGCUCAUUGUGUCCUGGGUGAUGGUUCAGGCUGAGACAGAAAGUUCCCUGCAUCCGAUGUACCAAGGAAUGGCCCAGAGGUACAGCGACGCUGGGGUGGAAAAGGCCGGCUACCACUGGAUGGACAGGGAUUGCUGCGCUCCAUUUAAGAUCCCGGACUGCGUCCCUGGUGAACAUCUGUGCUGGGAUGCCUGGAAGACCACCCCUUCCAUUGUUGCAGGAGCCACCUCUGGAGCGCUGACCAACACCUGCGCCUCACGGGCACAUUACAACAGCAGCAUCGUUGUGAAACUAGACUUGUUUCACUGUAUGAGGCGCUUUGGACGAGAGUGCACCUCUGAGCACCAUCCUCUGUUCAGCCUUUUCUGCCAGCUCCUUUCUGCCGCCUUCUCUGUGGUGGAUCAGGAAGACCUGAAGAGGCUCCGUGAUGCCUACGAGUUCUGCGGAAUCGGUCCAGCCAACCCCACCAAACGGCACGUCCGAGAGCACUGCAGAACUAAAAUUCCACAACCCACCGAGCUGCUGGAGAGAGUUCUGCAGCACUUUCACCUGGCCACGGACCCUAACGAUGUCCCACUCUUCAAGCCAUCCAUGCUGAAGACGUGGCGCGUUCAGAGGGUUCACAUCCUCCGUGGUUGCCUCAGUGACCCAGAACUGUCUGAGGGGAUAAUGUACAGGGACGGAGGGACCCUUCAGCUAAACCACGUAGCGGGCGAAGGUGCCAAAGUCCCCGUCUGGAUCCCUGUCCGUGGUACAUCUCAGCAGGAGGGCUACCAUUUCCACCAGGCCCAGUGGGUCACGGGUACGCAGGUCUCCCCUGAACUGUUCCAGGCCCAGGCCAUGACCGGCGUUGUGCGGUGGAACUUUCAGCGACUGGUAGACAUGAAGAAGCCCGGCGUCGUCCUCCCUGCUGUCUUUGACCCUGCCUUAAUGUGGGAGUUGAACUCUGCUUCCAUGGCAGUAACGGGACAAGACAAGUACCCUGCGACAGAGACACUGGAGAAAGGUUUGGGCUGGAGUACAGAGAACCGGGCUGCCGUCCGGUCCCUCUGGACUGGGACAAACACAAAAUGCAGAAGAGGGAUCCGCCUUCGGCUCUUGUGCCCCCUCCCGCUCCAGACGAUGCUCCUGGCGCAACACCUUCCUCCAGCUGGGCAACACUGACUGCUGUGCCGUCGCUUCCCCCUGCACCACCUGUCAGCUUCCAUCUCUCUGCUGCUGGACGUGUAAAGGAGAUUCCAGCAGAGGAUGACCAGGAUCCUGAAAGAUCAGUGGGUGGGUCAACGAUAAUCGUGUUUUUCAGAGUGGCAUGUUGGAAUUAAGGCGUUCGAAUGAUUGAAAAUAAAUAGAUUUAGUUAGGUUGUGGUCAGUGUAUCUCAAUUUUUUGAUGUGUUAAAUAUUACACUUUCUGUUAUUAAGGGAUCAAUAUUAAUGUGUUUUCUCAAUAGCCCAUAUUGCGAUAAUAUGAGUUACUAAGGAUGCAUUAUUGCUUUGUUUGUGUUCCAGACGUCUCUGGAGCUUUGCCCCUGCCGCUGAAGUCCUCGCCGAGGAGUGCCCGCACUGGACCCGUAAAGACUGGUGGUCGAGUGUUUGUCUUGGACCACACACACCGGACUCUUCCCAUGAAAGACGCUAUUGAUAGUUUGCUGCAGUAUCAUCAUGGGGAGAAGGACAUCCUGAGGCUUGUGGAUCGAGACUACGCAGACAUGGUCCAUCGGUCUGCGGCCGAUCCUAACAGCUUGCUCCACCCCACAACCAGGUUUCACAUAUCCCGCUAUGUGAAGCAUCUGACAAAGCUGUUGAACACCAGUUCUUCUCUGAACACCAGCCCAGAGAAGCUCCUGGAGACUCAACAGCUGUGGUACUCCUUGACGGAGGGGAGCAAAACAACCAGCGUUCCUGUAGUCACCAUGGAGACAGCUGUUGUCACUCCUCCCACAGCCGCCCUGCCCACGCCUCUGACGCAGGACUCCAUUGAAAAAAUUGUGCAGGGCAUUCUAGAGAGGCAGCAGCAGUAGCACCGACCAGAGCAGAAGAUGAGACAGACGAAAACCUGUCUCGCCUGUGGACAGCCCAAGUCUCGGUAUGGGACGGAUGGAUCUUCCAUCCACUUUUUCUGUCAGCAGGGUCCUGUUCGCUACUUCUACUGCUCAAGGAAGGUGCAUCAGACUUAUGCUGCUGAGGGACUCUCUGACCCCAGAAUGCCCUUUGAACAAUUUGCCAUGUCAGAGUUUUUCCAGAGGCAGUUGGAGGCCACCAAAAAGCGUGUGGAGGAAAAAGCUCGGAGACAGAGACUUGGCUCUCAGCCACCUGAUCGCCUCUGCAGGUUCUGCCAUUUGACUCUAAAAGAAGGACCAAACAGCCCACAUAUACAUACAGGGUUCCCUGGAGUGGCAGGUAAACACAUUUACUGCUCAUCCAAAGUCUAUUCUCUAUAUCGGGACAAGGGGAUGGCCCGAGAGAUGACUUGGAAAGAGUUUGUGGCCACUCCUUUCUUUGAGGCAGAGGGACGAAGAUGGAUGUAGGAAAGGACAAAAUGAACUACAUGCCAGGAAUGCAUGUUGCACUGUACAUAGUUAUGAAAUGUUGCACUACUGUACAUAGUUUUACAUUUAAUAUUUAACUCCUGUACACACUUUUGAGAUUUAAUGUUGCACUCCUGUACACAGUUUGAGAUUUAAUGUUGCACUGAGAUUUAAUGUUGCACUAUUGUACAUCGUUUUACAUUUAAUAUUUAACUCCUGUACAUAGUUUGAGAUUUAAUGUUUUAUGAGUGUGUUUGUUUUUAAAUAAAAUUGAAUUUCCCACUCUGGUCC